Molecule: small nuclear RNA, 109 nt
Organism: Ictidomys tridecemlineatus (thirteen-lined ground squirrel)
Lineage: Eukaryota; Metazoa; Chordata; Mammalia; Rodentia; Sciuridae
Source: Ensembl
GUGCUCACUUCAGCAGCACAUGAACUAAAAUUGGAACAAUACAGAGAAGAUUAUCAUGGUCCUUGCAUGAGGAUGACAUGCAAAUUAGUGAAAGAGUGGACAGAAGUUU